AGCGAACGCUGGCGGCAGGCCUAACACAUGCAAGUCGAACGAACUCUUCGGAGUUAGUGGCGGACGGGUGAGUAACACGUGGGAACGUGCCUUUAGGUUCGGAAUAACUCAGGGAAACUUGUGCUAAUACCGAAUGUGCCCUUCGGGGGAAAGAUUUAUCGCCUUUAGAGCGGCCCGCGUCUGAUUAGCUAGUUGGUGAGGUAAAGGCUCACCAAGGCGACGAUCAGUAGCUGGUCUGAGAGGAUGAUCAGCCACAUUGGGACUGAGACACGGCCCAAACUCCUACGGGAGGCAGCAGUGGGGAAUCCUGCGGAAUGGGCGAAAGCCUGACGCAGCCAUGCCGCGUGAAUGAUGAAGGUCUUAGGAUUGUAAAAUUCUUUCACCGGGGACGAUAAUGACGGUACCCGGAGAAGAAGCCCCGGCUAACUUCGUG
RNAcentral lists this ribosomal RNA (433 nucleotides) under uncultured bacterium. RNAcentral describes it as "partial 16S ribosomal RNA". It matches the Rfam family "Bacterial small subunit ribosomal RNA", at positions 29 to 507 of the family's 1533-position model. The record is from RNAcentral.